UUUUUCCUACGGGGCGCAGCAGUGGGGGAUAUUGGACAAUGGGGGAAACCCUGAUCCAGCGAUGCCGCGUGAGGGAAGAAGGUUUUCGGAUUGUAAACCUCUGUGGAGGGGGACGAUAAUGACAGUACCCCUUUAGGAAGCCACGGCUAACUACGUGCCAGCAGCCGCGGUAAUACGUAGGGGGCAAGCGUUAUCCGGAUUUACUGGGUGUAAAGGGAGCGUAGACGGUGCAGCAAGUCUGAUGUGAAAGGUCGGGGCCCAACCCCGGGACUGCAUUGGAAACUGUUGAACUGGAGUACAGGAGG
RNAcentral lists this ribosomal RNA (305 nucleotides) under uncultured bacterium. Its description in RNAcentral is "bacterial SSU rRNA". It matches the Rfam family "Bacterial small subunit ribosomal RNA", at positions 333 to 655 of the family's 1533-position model. The record is from RNAcentral.